CUUGAUCUGGCAUACAAUUUGCAUUCUGCAUUUGGUAACUGGUUUCCUGGAUCAAAACCAUUGCUAGCUCAGGCCAUGAAUAAGAUAAUGAAGUCAAACCCAGCUUUAUAUGUCUUGAGGGAGCGGAUAAGGAAGGGUUUGCAGUUGUAUUCUUCUGAGCCUACAGAACCGUAUUUGUCAUCCCAAAACUACGGUGAGAUCUUCAGCAAUCAGAUUAUAUGGUUUGUUGAUGAUACAAAUGUGUAUCGCGUCACAAUUCAUAAGACAUUUGAUUGCUGAAGAUCUCACCGUAGUUUUG
Molecule: unclassified non-coding RNA, 298 nt
Filed under: Hevea brasiliensis (rubber tree)
Lineage: Eukaryota; Viridiplantae; Streptophyta; Magnoliopsida; Malpighiales; Euphorbiaceae
Source: RNAcentral